UACCCAAUGCGACAAAACGGUAAGUCGAGAGGAUGCUAAGUCCGAUGAUGCAGGUUCGAGUCCUGCUUGGGUGAC
This 75-nucleotide transfer RNA is filed under the name Klebsiella pneumoniae. RNAcentral describes it as "tRNA-Pyl(cta)". It matches the Rfam family "tRNA". Rfam says of the family: Transfer RNA (tRNA) molecules are approximately 80 nucleotides in length. Their secondary structure includes four short double-helical elements and three loops (D, anti-codon, and T loops). Further hydrogen bonds mediate the characteristic L-shaped molecular structure. tRNAs have two regions of fundamental functional importance: the anti-codon, which is responsible for specific mRNA codon recognition, and the 3' end, to which the tRNAs corresponding amino acid is attached (by aminoacyl-tRNA synthetases). tRNAs cope with the degeneracy of the genetic code in two manners: having more than one tRNA (with a specific anti-codon) for a particular amino acid; and 'wobble' base-pairing, i.e. permitting non-standard base-pairing at the 3rd anti-codon position. The record is from RNAcentral. Lineage: Bacteria; Pseudomonadati; Pseudomonadota; Gammaproteobacteria; Enterobacterales; Enterobacteriaceae.